RNAcentral lists this ribosomal RNA (732 nucleotides) under Paramesopodopsis rufa. RNAcentral describes it as "LSU rRNA". It matches the Rfam family "Eukaryotic large subunit ribosomal RNA", at positions 1306 to 1924 of the family's 3401-position model. The record is from RNAcentral. Lineage: Eukaryota; Metazoa; Arthropoda; Malacostraca; Mysida; Mysidae.
CUAGCCCUGAAAAUGGAUGGCGCUCAAGCGUCUUCCCGAUACUUGACCGUUAGGACAAUAAUGGCCUCUAGCAAGGGUCUUGAAGUCCUAACGAGUAGGAGGGUCGCUGGGGUAAGCAUCGAAGCAUUUCAGCGUGAGCUGGUGUGGAGCUGCCUCAGGUGCAGAUCUUGGUGGUAGUAGCAAAUACUCGAGUGAGACUCUAGAGGACUGAUGUGGAGAAGGGUUCCAUGUGAACAUCAGUUGUACAUGGGUCAGCCGGUCCUAAACUCCUGGCUAAAGCCAAACUCAGAGCCUGAGUACAUCGCUAAUGCUGAAAGAAAGACUUGAUUGUCUUUGCUUAGAUGUUGUGUCUCAGUGUCGUGGGUGAAAGGGAAUCUGGUACUUAUUCCAGAGCUAUAACCAGUGUUUGUGGGUGCCUCAUUCAUAGAGUGUAUCUCAUUGCCUGGCAACAGGUAGUAACCCAUGUCCGCUGGCGGUAGGCCAGGGAAGAGUUUUCUUUUCUGUUUAAAAGCCCGUAACCCUGGAAGCAAAUUGCAAGGCGAUAGGGUUGUGGCGCUGUAGAGCGUCGCGGUUCUUGCGACGUCCUGAGUCCUACUGUCGGCCCUUGAAAACAUGGGGGAAGGGUGGGUGUGUCCCCGCACUGGUUUAGCCGUACCGAUAACCGCAUCUGGUCUCCAAGGUAAAGAGCCUCUAGUCGAUAGAAUAAUGUAGGUAAGGGAAGUCGGCAAAUUA